GACGGGACAGGAGGGGACGCGACAACGGGACAGGAGUGGAUGGGACGGGACAAGACGGGACAGGGUGGGACAAGAUGAGAUGGGACGAGACGGGAGGAGAUUUCUGGGCAUGAGCGUAGCGGAGACCUCUGGAUAAAACCCAUAUCCUUAAUGUUUGAAAGGCUGGAGUCUAGCUCCUUAAUUUCCUGGAAAGGAUGACACUGGAAGUCAAACCACCAUGGGAUCCUAGCUUCUACCCAGAAGAUCCUCAGAUCAAGCACUCAUCAUCUCCAACCUUGCUUAUCCUGGAAAAUGAGAAAAAUAGAGCAACAACAAAAUACUGCCAGAGGAUUUUUCUGUUUAGUUAAUUUUCACUGAUGUUUAACCUCAAGGAAAGUUUUUCACCAGAGAGCUUUAGGCAGUUUUCCCCAUGAAGAUUUCUUCUUCAAUAGCUAGAUGGGCUAAGACGCCUUUUUAGCCUAUUUCUUUUUAUUUGGUUUGAGAUUAAGCCUCUCCUUUUUAUGUAUGUUCUUGUUUAUAAAGACAGAUUAGCUUAUUUUUUUUCCCUCCAGGAAUAAAACAACUUUAUAAUCAAAAUCCAAAAUUACAAAAGCUAAAUUUGCUGCUUUUGAAACAGACAUCUGCUCACAGUGUGUAAACCAACAAAUAAAAUCGCUUCAGAUUAUUCACAUGUUGUUCACAGGAAAACAUAUUUUAAUCUUAUCACAUGAAAAUGCAAGUAAUGAGUUGCAUACCAAAUUAAUUAAAUAAUGUACUAGCUUUUGUCAUGACAUUGUUAGUAUACAACCUGGGUAUAUUUUAAUGAGAUUUUUCAAAGUUCCUACACAGUGUUACAGGGGUCAUUAAGAUUCUGCUGUGGUAUAGUUGUAUACUAAGCAUAUUUUUCUUUUGACAGGCUAUAAGGAACACACCAUUCACGCAUAUUUAGGUAAUAAUUUUGAUAUAUUAUCAUUUGCAUAUAGGCUGAUGGAAUUGUAACCAAUUGCUGGACAAUCUCAGAAAACUAUUUGUUGUAAAAGUGUAUGCAUACAUCAUUCAAAGCACUUAGUCUGCUGGGAGAGGAGGUCCAGAAAAAAUGGAAUCGCUUUCUCUACUUUCUCCUCAAGCACCUAGGAGUUUCUUCUUUCUCUUACUGGCAGAUUUCUAUAAUAAAUCAAAUAGCUAGGGUGCAAAAGGUCCAAAACAUAUGCAAAGGGUUUGAAGAGCUGCCUAGGAAGGAGUAUUUUUAACACAGUCUGUAUUUGCUUUGUGGCGAUUGGAAGGAGCCUGGCCUUCCGAAGCAGGAUUUGCAGUGACAGGGCUGGCUGCACAGCCUCACGUGUUCCAGGGUGUAUGUCUGCAAUUUUUCCAAUCAAGUACAGCGAUACAACUUUCCUUUCUAUUACUUAAACAAUAGUAAGAAAGUAAUUACCAGAAAGAGGUCUUUAAAAUAAACAAACAGAGAUAUCUACCCAAAAUCCUCUCCCAGAGGUAACUCAGGAAGGCCAGUUGUGGGUUUGUUCAGCUCUCUAAGACAACUCCCCGAGUCUCAGUUGUUCCUUUACAAAACCAGCUAGAAUUCUUACGACUGCAUGUAUUACCAAGCUUUUUCCUGAGCUGGCUUAAUUCUGCAAGAAAGAGCUCAGAGGUGUUGGUGGAGAUGUAGCUUAUCUGAACUGUUCCUUUCCCUUCCUGCUUCUCUUCUCAACAGCACCUAUUAAGCUGCACAACCGUAUUCAAAUGUAAACAUCCUACUGGCCAUGUCAACAUAGGGGAGUCAUGAAUUACUGAGCAGUUCCCAGUUCAGCACAGCGGGAGACUGGGAAGGUAAUUUUGUACAAGCCAAGAACAGAGGCAGGUCCGUGAGCGGCACAAAACAUCAAUCUGAAUUUUUUCUACUUAAACAUGCUUUGUUGUCAUUUAUUCAAUGUUUUCACUCUAUCGCUAACCAUAUAUUAUAUUACUACUAUAUCAGACUAACAUUCUUCAGCAUCUAUUAGAUAACAUCUUUUUAAAUCUAGUAGACUAUUUUACUUACUGAUUUUCAAUAAACAAAAUUAAUUUCUGUA
Molecule: long non-coding RNA, 2048 nt
Organism: Cuculus canorus (common cuckoo)
Lineage: Eukaryota; Metazoa; Chordata; Aves; Cuculiformes; Cuculidae
Exons: 2
Source: RefSeq, a predicted model, not a curated record